This 4006-nucleotide long non-coding RNA is filed under the name Sarcophilus harrisii (Tasmanian devil). RNAcentral describes it as "lncRNA (ENSSHAG00000027005.1)". Lineage: Eukaryota; Metazoa; Chordata; Mammalia; Dasyuromorphia; Dasyuridae. The record is from RNAcentral.
CGGUGACGCUUAAAGAGGGCCUGGAAGAAGACGACUCAGCCAAACGAAGCCACACAGGCAGCCUCGCCCCCCGCCUCAGGAUUCCCCACCCUCCAAUUUCCCGUCAGUCACACUGAAAACAUAGCCGGCAAGUCACAGAAGAGAGGGGAAAACGCUUAAAAGGCGGCAUCCAAAUCCCCGCGUCCCCGUCACCCAUGAGCGAAGUAGCGUUCGAGCCCCGGCUGUCUCAAGCCCCCGUCGCGGCUGGCGGUGCGGCACUGACGGCCCGGAAAAGGACACGGCUGUUCCCCGGCGGGCCCGGGCAGACACCGCGGCUGCGUCUAGCCUCAGACCCAUAAAUAGAGACGGCAAUAUCUGUCUUGACUCAAUAUCGUACCGAUCUAAAGGCGUUUGGCUACAAACUGCCCUCUGAGGUUACAACUGGGGACUUGGGGACAUCACUCGUGUCCGAACCACAAGCAGUCCAUCUGCUCAAUGCAAGCUGGCACACAACCUCCUGAGGACUCACUCAGGAUGUUUUGCUGGUGAAACACUGAGACAACAGCUGAUGUCCGAAGUGGAAUCAAAAAAUUGAAUAAUGACCUUUUGCCCCAUCUCCAGCGUGACUCAAAGUACCAUAUCUAUGGGAGUCUGUUGAACUCUGCCCAAGCCUACUUGGAGAAUGGUAGUAAGUGAUGUUCCUUUUCUAAUUCCCAAGCUCCCAUCUUUUGAUUAAGCUCCACUUCCUUGAAGGAUUGAACUAUGGUUGUCAAACUGAGGAUUCAUCCAUCUCUUCCUGGAUAAGCCUUCAACUUCUAAAAACAGCUACCUUUUUUUGAACUUUCUCCUCUGGUGACAGUUUUGGAGAGAGGGAGAGGAAGUGGAGAGAGAGAGAGGGAGAGAAAAGGAAGAGAGGAGAGAGAGAGAAGAAAGAGGAGAGAGAGAAGAAAGGAGAGAGAGAGAGAAGAGAGAAAGGAGGGAGGGAAAGCAAUAAUGUGCUUCAGUCUGUAUUCAGAUAAGAUCACAUCUUUCUCUGGAGGCAGAUGGUAUGUUUCAUCAUUAAUCUUUUGGGAUUGUCUUGGAUCAUUGUACUACUGAAAAUUGCCAAGUUAUUUACAAUUCAUCAUACAGUAUUGCUGUUAUUGAAUAUAAAGUUCUCCUGGUUCUGCUCACUUUACUUUGUAUCAGUUCACUGAUCUACUCACUGGAACAGAAGGCACCUGAGAAAAAACCAAAGCAGCCUCAGAUGACCCAAAGAUAGCUGCUUCUUUUAAUCAUCCCCUCACCUUUUUCAAGAGCUCCAAGGCCUUCAGAGUCAUUCCUCUAUCUCUCUAUAUGUUCCACAUAAUAUGGAAGUAAGUGCUUCCAGGACGCUUUCUGUGAUUAAUUCUACUCAGCUUAUUCAACCUUGUUCACUCCAGUGAAGACACUCUGAGUCUUCUUGGCAAUCAUAUGAUCACUCUGUGAAUCUGUUCUUGUCUGUGUGUUGCAUUCAUGUCUCAAAUGAUUCCUUCUUUGUCUCAUCUCCCCAGUUCAAGUAUAAGCAAAGAUUGUAUCUACCAUUUUUUUUUUUUUGCCCACUUCCACGAUUUCUAAUAUAACACUCUGCACCCAAGAAGUGUCUAGUACUGUGGUCAAAGAUCUCUGAUGUGGUUAAUAAUAACUGGACAUUUGCACUGGAACUUGUUCUUGAUGAAACCCUACUGGUCUUUGUAUUCACAAUUCCCUUUCUAAAUGUCCACUAGCCAUCUCUUUAAUAAAGUCAAAUUCAUUAGUCUAUAGUUUAUAGACUCUGUUCUUUUCCCUUUUUUGAAAAGUUAACCUUCAUCCCUCUCCAAUCCUUGUGAUACUUUUACCACUUUCCACUAUCUUUCAGUUGUUAUUGACACAUUUGCCAGUUAUUUGUCUUCUACAAAUAUUUGAACAUCUCUACACUGUACUGUAGCUACUCCUGUGGAAUUUACUUUGGGACACACACACACACACACACACUGACACUCUGCUCUCUCUCCCUUUCCAGUUUAAAGCCUUCUUGGCUAGAUUGGAUAAGACUCUUGGCAAGCACAUUUUCCAAGCACUUAAGUUCCUUCUAUCUGGAAACCAGCCAAAAUAGCAGGAAGGAGAAGGCACUCAGCCUAGCACUCCCCAACAACUACUCCAACAACAACAAUAACAAAAAAAAAUACUGUUCUAGGUUCUGAUAUGGAAACUCAGAAAAAAAUCAGUCAGUCAUUUUUACGGCCCGAAUUAGUAUAGGGAGACAGAAAGAAGCCUGCAGAAGCUGGAGGAUGGGCCACGGUCAGGGGUAGCUGUAUGGAACCUUCCAGUGGGGAAGGGGAACUGGGGGCCUCUUGUAUCCUAGGAUAGGAAGAGAACUGGGAUCCAGCACCAAUGAGAUGGAUGCUGUUCAACUCUUGAAAGAACAGAAACUGAAGUGGCAAGGCAUCCUGAGAGACAGAAGAGAGUUUAUGUCAAUCAGUCAAAUAAAACAACUAAUAUCACCUUGACCAUCCUGGGAGACGUGGAAGAUGCAGUCCAGCAGCUACUCCUUGCAGAUGCUACAGCAACAGUGACUCUUCGAAGACCCAGAAAAUCAAUAUUUUAUCACCAAAAUCCUGGGCGCUAUCAAAAAUGUUCAUGUCAGAAAUUAAUAUGAUUUCAUCAGUGAAAAUGACCUUAAAGAAGAGAUGUUGCCAUCUGCUUUGCUAUUGUUAUUGCUCAGUCAUUGUCUUGACUGAUUCUUCGUGACCCCCUGGACCAUAGCCAUUCUAUCCUCCACUAUCUCCUGAAGUCUGUUCAAGCUUCUGUUCUUUGCAUCCAUGGCAACAUCCAUUAUCUCAUCCUCUACCAUUCCCUUUUCCUUUCCCCUUCAAUUUUUCCCAACAUCAGGGUCUUUUCCAAUGAAUUCCAUCUUCCCAUUAUGUGAUCAAAAUAUUUAAGCUUUAACUUCAAUAUUUGACCUUCCAGGGAACAGUCUGAAUUAAUCUCUUUUAAGUAUUAAUUGAUCUGAUCUCCUUCUGUGCAAGGGAUUCUCAAAAGUCUUCUCCAGCAUCACAAAUUAAAAGCAUUGAUUCUGUGGCACUCAGCUUUUCUUAUAGUCCAAUUCUCAUAAUCAUAGUCCUGGAAAGACCAUAACUUCAACUAUGUGGUCCUUUGUUGGCAAGAUAAUGUCUCUACUAUUUAGUAUGCUGUGCCGAUUUUCCAGAGCUUUCCUUCCAAGGAGCAAGAAUUUGUUAUUUUCGUGGUUACAGUCACCAUCUGCAGUGAACUUUGAGCCCAAGGAUACAAAAUCUCAUGCUGUUUCCAUUUCUUCUCUACUUGCCAGGAAGUCGUGGGACCAGUUGCCAAGAUCUUAGUUGGGUUUUUUUUUUAAGUUUUUUAAUGGCUUCAGGCCAGCUUUUAAAAUCUCUCAAUUCAUUUUUAACCAUGAGACUGAUAUUAUCUGCAUAUCAGAGAUUGGUGAUAUUUCUCCCAGCAACCUUCCUUCUGACUUUUGAUUUGUGCAUCUGUGUUGGUAUGAACCCUAAAUGGGGGUCACAAAGAAUCAGACAUAACUUUAAGGGACUAAGCAACAACAACAACUCUGCAUUUGAGCUAAUUAAGUAAGGUGACAAUAUGACAUACCUUGACAUCCUCCUUUUCCAAAUUUAAACCAAUCAGUUGUUCCAUGUUUGCUUCUUGUAAUUGUUGCUUCUUGGCUGGCAUAGAGGUUCCUCAAGAUAUAAAAUAAUCUGAUAAGCCCAUUUCUUGAGGACUUGCUACAUUUUGUUGUGAUCUGCAAAAGAUUUAGAAUUAAUUAAUCAAUUUAGGAUUGAUGACUUUGAAGUAGAUUUUUUUGUUGUUGUUUUUGGAACUCCCUUGCUUUCUCCAUAAUUCAGCAAAGGUUAGCUCUAGGCUCUUUGAAACCAGAAUGUUCUUCUGAUAAUUUUGGAUUAUAUAUUACUUAAACCCAGUUUGCAGAGAAGAGAAAAAGAAAGAUUUCAAAGAGUCAAUCAGGAUCACAUAAGAUUUAUUAAAUUUAUUAGCU